Molecule: long non-coding RNA, 3596 nt
Filed under: Homo sapiens (human)
Lineage: Eukaryota; Metazoa; Chordata; Mammalia; Primates; Hominidae
Description: HSALNT0361151
Source: RNAcentral
GGAGGCAGGCAACACCAGCCCUCAGGCUACACUCUCCAUUUGGAGCAGAGCUUCUUCGGCAGCCCCAGGUCUCCCGGGAUCUUCCUCGGUGUCCUGCGGAGGCUCUGGCUCCAGCGUGGGCUCCAGCGCAGGCUGGGCUUCCGGCUGGGCUUCAGCGCUCCGGCCAGGCCCAAGGCGAGGCGGCUUGACCGGGGUGGGCGGUGGCGCUGCAGGGCCUUUCCGGCCCGAAAGGGCCCUUCGGAGGCUCUGUACCUUCUGCAAUCCGGUGCGCCGCAGCCGCUGGGCCCUGGACUCCACCGGCUCCUCGUCCGAGCUCUCUCCAACUUCGGCCUCCAGCUGCUCUGGGCCCAGCUCGGACUGGUCCGCCGGGCCCAAGGGCUCUGGUGCCUUCUGGAAAGCGCUGGCUGGGACUUCACCCUCCUCCUGCAUGUGACGGACACAGCACUGAUCCUGGCAGCUCCUUACCCCCAGCAGCCCGAAACUCACUCCUUAAUUACACAAGGGAAACCUUUUACCUCCGCAGCCAGAGUCUGGGGGGAAAGGCAGGCGUGGGAAGAUGGGUUCUCUACCUGGCCAGUGCCAUGUUGCCUGUUUCUUUACUGUAACUGUGGUGACAAAGAAAAGGGAAGAUGGAGCCUCCAUGUUGAACAUACCUGGCCCCCAGCACUAACUCCCUCUCUGGAUAUCUGGAACAAGGAGGACCUUAAACUUAACAAUAAAGCCAAUGAUGGUUCUACCAGUCUCCCCAAAGCCUCAAGUUUAAAAGCCAUAUGAACUGGCUGAUAGUGGAAAAUGGAAGCCAUGAGGAAAUCAGAUUAGAGUACUACCUGGUGAAGCCUGGAGGACCUACCAAGAAAAGCAAACUUGGAUCUUUGCAAGGUUAGAAGAACGAAUGGGAUCCAAGAAAAAGACUGGUCAUAUUCAACGGCUAAGAGCGUUGGAGAAGGCCUGUGGAGUCUCAGCAGGUCAGGUCCAUGACUCAUGAGUAGACACCUGUGUUUCUACUGCCUGGUGCCAUAAUCAUAAACAAGGAAGAAACUGAGGACAGGAGGGGCCAAACAAGUUACAGUUUCAUCCCUCCAGAGAGCCAACAGAGUAUUUUGCACGAAGUUGAAGCUAAACAGAGUAAUCAGCAAAUGCCUUUCCUUUCUCCUGCUGAUGUUUUGCCCGUACUCAGACCCCUUGACUUCUUAGCUUCUACCCAAAGUGAGCUUGUCAUCAAAGUUCUCCAAAAAUCUGCAGUGUUCUCUUGAGCAAAUCUGUUCAAUACACUGAUUGAGGCCAGGCGCGGUGGCUCACACCUGUAAUCCCAGCACUUCGGGAGGCCAGACGGGUGGAUCACGAGGUCAGGAGAUCGAGAACAUCCUGGCUAACAUGGUGAAACCCCAUCUCUACUAAAAAUACAAAAAAUUAUCCGGGUGUGGUGGUGGGCACCUGUAGUCCCAGCUACUCGGGAGGCUGAGGCAGGAGAAUGGCGAGAACCCGGGAGGCAGAGCUUGCAGUGAGCCGAGAUCGAGCCACUGCACUCCAGCCUGGGCGACAGAGCAAGACUCCAUCUCCCAAAAAAAAAAAAAAAAUACACUGAUUGAGCCCCAAGCUCUGGCAUCCCAGUGUACCCCAAGUGCAUGCCUGUUGUGUUGCAGCUUCCAAGACUAUAGCGCUCUGAUGCAUUGAGAUGACAGCAAGCGGCAUUUUUCAGUCCUGUUACCCAUAUGGCUGCUACCACUGCAUCCUGUUAAAUAAUGUCUUCAACCCAAGAAACCUGCUUCCUAGGGAAGUUUCUCUCUCUCUGCAUUUGUUCCCACUAGAGAAUGACCAUCACCAGAUUCCUGAACUGAAAAUGCUGUUGACACUUUGGAAACUCGGGCCUCUAUUAAUAGGGUGACCAACUAUCCUGGUUUACCUUGAGUACAGGAUUUUCAAUGCUAAAACCAGAAAAACCAGGAUGGUUGGUCAUCUGCCUCAGACCUAAUAAAUACCAGUCAAUAAUUCAGCCAUGAGCUUUCUUAAGACACUGUCUUUUCUUGACUGUUGAAUAGUCUAGGACUUGAGUAGCAGCUCUUUCUGCUACUGGACACUUGUUUUACUACCCUAUUUCUCUAGAUUUUAUUUUGUGGCUAAUAAUUAAGACAUAAAAUCAUGGGUUCUGGUUAUGCCAAAGCACUCACUCUUCAAAAGUUUCCAUCCAGAGUUGGAUAAUCCCACACAGAAGGUGUUCUUUCAACAGACCAGCAUCCAAUAGACCCAAUGCAGCAUUUUUCUUCCUGGUUCCACAUUAAUACAUCCUAUCUCUGCUAUGCUUAGGUCCCUGAUUUAUAAAUAUUUCAGACAUAUUUUCUCAGGACACAGGGAGUACUUAAACUUCCACAUAGCAGAGAUACGACAUACAAUAAGCUGUUAUCUGGAAACUCCUAGUGAUGCUUUGAGUACUUUACAGUAAUCUUUCUGGUCUUCCUCUCAACCCCAUUAAGUUUUUCUGUAACUAGCUGGUGUAUCUGUCUCCAUCUUUAAGGAAUAAGUCCCUAUUUGCUCAUGCUAUAAUCUCCCUCAUGCUCUCCGUCCCUCCUUCCCUCUCCUUCUCUCUUUCUGUCUCUCUCUCUCUCCACCCUGAUUGUGAGAUGCUACACCUUAAUAGUUUUCUAUACCUAGAUCCCUUUUGAAGGAGUAAUUUCAGCCAUCACUGAAAUCUAUGCUUUUUUAUCUUGUUAGAUUUAUUUAGGACCUAAUGACUGUUUCUGAGCUAAUAAUAACGCAAUCAGCUCAUAUUUUUCUGAUACUCUAAGAGCAAUUACAUCUAGUUGCAUCACCUUUUCCUUUUUUAUUCAUGUAUCUUAGGCUUCUCAAGAUAUGAGACUAGCACUUGAGCCUGAGAUAAGCCUUAAGAAUUCCAGGAUAGUCUCUCCAUAGUUCCCUUUCUUGGAUAAAGUCAUUUCAAAACAUCUUAGUGGAUCAGAUUUGGAGCAGCCUACUUACACUGGUGAAUACCACAACUAAUAAAUAAUUGUUCUGCACCCCACCCACAUCUAAAGGAUUCAGGGUGUCUUUUACAGAUAUAGGACUCUCCUUUCUCUGUUUCUCUUCUCUCUCUUCUCCUUGAUUAAAGCUUUGCUUCAGCUGUCCCUGCUCACUACGGCACUGCACCUCACCAGCAUCUUCAUGGCCCUCACAUGGCUCAUGUGCAUAUCCUAACUCUGAUACUAAGGGAGGAGACCACCCCUCAUAUUGUCUUAUGCCCAAUUUCUGCCUCCAAAGAAAGAAGAAGUAAAAACUAAAAGGCAGAAAUGAAAUCCACAAGCAGACAGCCCGGCGCCACACCCUGGGCCUGGUAGUUAAAGAUCGACCCCUGACCUAAUCGGUUAUUUGCAUAAGAAAAGCACUGUGAAGAUCCCUGUCCUGUUCUGUUCCAUUCUAAUUACCGGUGUAUGCAGCCCCCAGUCAUGUACCCCUGCUUGCUCAAUCGAUCACGACCCUCUCACGUGGACCCCCUUAGAGUUGUGGGCCCUUAAAAGGGACAGGAAUUGCUCACUCGGGGAGCUUGGUUGUUGGAGAUGUGAGUCUUGCUAAAGCUCCCAGCCGAAUAAAGCCCUUCCUUCUUA